RNAcentral lists this ribosomal RNA (326 nucleotides) under uncultured bacterium. Its description in RNAcentral is "bacterial SSU rRNA". It matches the Rfam family "Bacterial small subunit ribosomal RNA", at positions 28 to 334 of the family's 1533-position model. The record is from RNAcentral.
GAUGAACGCUGGCGGCGUGCCUAACACAUGCAAGUCGAGCGAAGCGAUUUAACGGAAGUUUUCGGAUGGAAGUUAAAUUGACUGAGCGGGCGACGGGUGAAGGUACGCGUAGGUAACCGUGCCUCAUACAGGGGGAUAACAGUUAGAAAUGACUGCUAAUACCGCAUAAGCGCACAGCAUCGCAUGAUGCAGUGUGAAAAACUCCGGUGGUAUGAGAUGGACCCGCGUCUGAUUAGCUAGUUGGUGAGGUAACGGCUCACCAAGGCGACGAUCAGUAGCCGACCUGAGAGGGUGAACGGCCACAAGGGGACUGAGACACGGCCCUU